This 273-nucleotide ribosomal RNA is filed under the name uncultured bacterium. RNAcentral describes it as "partial 16S ribosomal RNA". It matches the Rfam family "Bacterial small subunit ribosomal RNA", at positions 524 to 796 of the family's 1533-position model. The record is from RNAcentral.
UACAGAGGUCUCAACCGUUGUUCGGAUUCAUUGGGCGUAAAGGGUGCGUAGGCGGUCGCGCAAGUCGGAUGUGAAAUCUCGGGGCUCAACCCCGAAACUGCAUUCGAUACUGCGUGGCUAGAGUGCUGGAGAGGAGACUGGAAUUUACGGUGUAGCAGUGAAAUGCGUAGAUAUCGUAAGGAAGACCAGUGGCGAAGGCGAGUCUCUGGACAGCAACUGACGCUGAGGCACGAAGGCCAGGGGAGCAAACGGGAUUAGAAACCCCCGUAGUCC